AUCAAUGGUGAACUUUCUCAAUUAGGAAAAUGAGUUAAGACAUGAAAGAAUCCAAAUUAGAGAAACCACUAGAAAGGUCCAGAAUCCAAAUUCUCCUAACUGUGACAAAUGAAAGAUUGACAUAUUCUAGGAGAGAUUGUAAGUCUUGAGCUUUGCUAUGAUUAAGAUACCAAAAGUGAGAUUCCCAGGAAAUACAGUCACCCUGAAGAAAACACAAAAGGAAGACUGGUUAUGUAUACUAAAAUUUCAUCCUUCUGUAAUUACACUUUUUGUUUCUUUGUUUAAUGUUUACAGAAGGCUGAAAUGAGAUGUCUUUUACCCAAAACUUUGCUGGAUAAUGGAUACUUUCCAAUAGGCACCCAAAACAGUGGAGAAAAUAACAAGGGCAAAGUUGACAAAGUUUACAACUAUAGUUGGGGUGGUCAAACAAAGAUGCCAUCUUAUGUAAACAAACUGGUGUUCCCUGAGAUAUGCAUGACUACUUUGAGGACCAUAGUCAUGCAAGAAGAUGAGCUUUUCAAGUUUUCCUGAAUGCUGGAAGAGGAUCAAGUAAUUGGAAUACUAGACUGGGAAUUGUCUACCCUUGGUAACCAAAUGUGUGAUGUUGCAUAUAGCCGUAUGGUAUGUACUAUAUUGUCAUUUUUCUGCAUCAAGACUUUUUGGCAAAUAAAGAUGUGUUAUAAUAAUGCAUUCCACUUACAGUGUGCUUGGUUGGACGGAAAUGGAGGAGGAUAGAAAACAAUCAUUCCUUCUUUCCAAAUUUCAAAAAGAGUGUAGAAAAUUAAGUGAAGGAUCUAUCAAUAAUAAGUGAAUUGAUUUAUGUUAGGGCACCACUCA
This is a long non-coding RNA of Glycine soja, 837 nucleotides long. RefSeq lists it as uncharacterized. The record is from RefSeq and is a predicted model, not a curated record. NCBI's taxonomy places the organism in Eukaryota, Viridiplantae, Streptophyta, Magnoliopsida, Fabales, Fabaceae. The transcript has 2 exons.